AGAGGUUGACAGCCAGAGUAACAAAGAGUGAGGGAGGGCUAAUAAUUUACUUCCUAUACUCCACACUCUUCUAGGUGAAGAGAAACGGAUUCGAGAAUUUUACCAGUCCCGAGGCUUAGACCGGGUCACCCAGCCCAGUGGGGAAGAGCCAGCCCUGAGUAACCUCGGCCUCCCCUUCAGCAGCUUUGACCACUCUAAAGCCCACUACUAUCGUUAUGAUGAGCAGCUGAGCCUAUGCCUGGAACGGCUGAGUUCUGGCAAAGACAAGACUAAAAGCAUCCUGCAGAAUAAGUAUGUCCG
Manis javanica (Malayan pangolin) is the source of this 300-nucleotide non-coding RNA. The record is from RefSeq and is a predicted model, not a curated record. NCBI's taxonomy places the organism in Eukaryota, Metazoa, Chordata, Mammalia, Pholidota, Manidae.